This 801-nucleotide ribosomal RNA is filed under the name uncultured Rubrobacter sp. Its description in RNAcentral is "bacterial SSU rRNA". It matches the Rfam family "Bacterial small subunit ribosomal RNA", at positions 8 to 796 of the family's 1533-position model. The record is from RNAcentral. Lineage: Bacteria; Bacillati; Actinomycetota; Rubrobacteria; Rubrobacterales; Rubrobacteraceae.
AGAGUUUGAUCAUGGCUCAGGACGAACGCUGACGGUGUGCUUUAGGCAUGCAAGUCGAACGAGAAAGCCCUUCGGGGUGAGUAAAGUGGCGAACGGGUGAGUAACACGUGGGCAACCUGCCCCUCGCAGGGGGACAACCGGAGGAAACUCCGGCUAAUACCCCGUACGCUCUCAGGGUCGCAUGGCCCUGUGAGGAAAGGUAGCUUCGGCCAUCCGGCGAGGGAUGGGCCCGCGGUGCAUUAGCUAGUUGGUGGGGUAACGGCCCACCAAGGCAACGAUGCGUAGCUGGUCUGAGAGGAUGAUCAGCCACACUGGGACUGAGACACGGCCCAGACUCCUACGGGAGGCAGCAGCCAGGAAUCUUGGGCAAUGGGCGCAAGCCUGACCCAGCAACACCGUGUGGGCGAUGAAGGCCUUCGGGUCGUAAAGCCCUGUUGAUAGGGACGAAGGGCGAAGGGUUAAUAGCCCCUAGCCUGACGGUACCUUUCGAGGAAGCCCCGGCUAACUACGUGCCAGCAGCCGCGGUAAUACGUAGGGGGCGAGCGUUGUCCGGAUUUAUUGGGCGUAAAGAGCGUGUAGGCGGUUCGGUAAGUCUGUCGUGAAAUCCUGGGGCUCAACCCCGGGCGUGCGAUGGAUACUGCCGGGCUAGAGGAUGGUAGAGGCGAGUGGAAUUCCCGGUGUAGCGGUGAAAUGCGCAGAUAUCGGGAGGAACACCAGUAGCGAAGGCGGCUCGCUGGGCCAUUCCUGACGCUGAGACGCGAAAGCUAGGGGAGCGAACAGGAUUAGAUACCCCCGUAGUCC